GACGAACGCUGGCGGCGUGCUUAACACAUGCAAGUCGAACGGAAAGCGCUCUUCGGAGUGACUCGAGUGGCGAACGGGUGAGUAACACGUGGGUGAUCUGCCCUGCACUUUGGGAUAAGCCUGGGAAACUGGGUCUAAUACCGGAUAGGAGCAUGGCCUUCAUGGGUUGUGGUGGAAAGCGUUUGCGGUGGGGGAUGGGCCCGCGGCCUAUCAGCUUGUUGGUGGGGUAAUGGCCUACCAAGGCGACGACGGGUAGCCGGCCGUGAGAGGGUGUCCGGCCACACUGGGACUGAGAUACGGCCCAGACUCCUACGGGAGGCAGCAGUGGGGAAUAUUGCACAAUGGGCGCAAGCCUGAUGCAGCGACGCCGCGUGAGGGAUGACGGCCUUCGGGUUGUAAACCUCUUUCAACUACGACGAAGCGGAAGUGACGGUAGUAGUAGAAGAAGGACCGGCCAACUACGUGCCAGCAGCCGCGGUAA
RNAcentral lists this ribosomal RNA (481 nucleotides) under uncultured bacterium. RNAcentral's name for it is "partial 16S ribosomal RNA". It matches the Rfam family "Bacterial small subunit ribosomal RNA", at positions 28 to 523 of the family's 1533-position model. The record is from RNAcentral.